Long non-coding RNA from Helianthus annuus (common sunflower), 2371 nucleotides. RefSeq lists it as uncharacterized. NCBI's taxonomy places the organism in Eukaryota, Viridiplantae, Streptophyta, Magnoliopsida, Asterales, Asteraceae. The record is from RefSeq and is a predicted model, not a curated record. The transcript has 10 exons.
GGUAUGCGGCAUCCGAAUAUCUUGAUUCCGACCCACCCAUCAAAAAAUGGAUCCGUAUAUAAUAGAUCUUUUGUUCAUAAUAUACACAAAAAAAUGUUCUGAAACCCUAAAUCUUCAUCUCUUUCACCGCCGCUUCAUUCUUCUCCCUGCUGUUCCAAAAUCAAACCGAUUCACUUGCAGAGGAAGAUGGUGACGGUGGUGGUCACCUGAAGAGGGAAGACGACAAGACAUGGGUUGAUUUAGGGUUUCUCCAUUGGUGUUCUUGUGAUGGUUGUGGUUCUAGGCAAUGGCGAAAGGACGGCGGCUAGGGUUCCACCAACACAUAAAUCUGACCGAUUUUGGUUUCGGCAGGUACCGAUGCAGUCUUUUCAAGUGCAGUUUGUAUGUCUCGCAACGCCAGUUAUCCUGUUCGACUUGGAUUUAGACACUUGCGGUUAAACAUAAUAUUUGAACCUUAACAAUCUUUCCUACAGAAAAUUUCCUGUGUUAUAACUGUCGACUUGGUGAUGCUGAGGUCGUAUUACUCAGAAUUCUGGAAGUGAAGCUGGCACCCGUGGAAAAUCUGAAUGGACGCAAGAAAGUCGAAGCAGGGGACCUUUUUGAAAGAAGAAAUGGUUUGGAGGCGUUGAAAGCAGGAGACUUUUCUUUUACCAAACAUCCGACGGUUGAUUUUGUGGCAUUCGAUUGUUGUUAGAGGACAGAGUUUGUGAUUUUAGACUCCAGUGAUGACUACCAGCGGCGGUCGGCCAUUGCUGCUGUUAAUUCGCAUUUUCGUCUAUUCGAGUGUUGCGGUUUAAAGGACCGUGCGUUGUCUUCUAAUCAGAUAUUAGUUUGUUAAGCUUAGUUGUUUUUGUUAAAAAGACAACGAAAGAUUUCACCUUGAGAUAUUAACUUUUUUGUCAUGACAAGUUUGAUUUACAUUCCAAUGUAAAGGCGGUUAUAGAAGCUUGUGUACUCUUUGUAUCAGAUCCAAGUAUUACUCAGAAUUCUGGAAGUGAAGGUGGUACCCGUGGAAAAUCUGAAUGGACGCAAGAAAGUCGAAGCAGGAGACCAUUUUGAAAGAAGAAAUGGUCUUGCAGGUAGCGGAGUUGAUCUCAACUGGUAUUGGAGUAUAGACUUGGGAAAAAAGAGAAGAGGGAGAAAAACACGAUGACCAGAGACAAAAAGGCAGUGGUGAAGUCGCUGGGAUGGUAGCAGUGGUAGUGUUAAAGUUUCGUCGUUUUGAUAUGGCGAUAGUGGCCAGGGAUCAGGUUGCGAUUUUGACUUAUUGGGGGAUUUCAAGAUCUUAAAUUACCGGAAAGGAUGGUACUAAGUAAGUGGGUGUGGAACUGUUUUAGGUUAAUAGGUUAACAGAUUAUUUUGAGAUGUGUGUUUUGUUUUUCAGUCUUCAAUCAUUCAAAUCUGCAAUCAAAUUGAGGUUAGUAUAUACCAUGCUUUAUUUAUUGGAGUUCAAUUCACUGGAGUUUUUUUUUACUUUGGCAACAUUAGUCCGGGUCAACUCUUGUAGAUUAACCUAUGUUAAAAUGAUUCUUGGGGGUAACGAUUAUAACAUUUUGGAAAUAAACAGGACAUGGAAAAAUUAUUGCACUCGUGUGAUAAUACUACAUACACUUAAAUAGGAUAUAUUAACUCAAUAUAGCCAAGAAAAGUUCAUGAAAAAUUUAUAACUCUUCUUAUAGUGAAGACAUUAAUAUAUCAUGUUUUUUUGUAUGAUCUUAAGUGUGUAUUAAUUAAUAAUAAUAAUUAACCUAAACAACUUAUAUCAUGAAUUAGUUAUUGUCAUUCAAUGGUAUACAAUCUUUUCGUUCAGUUUACCAUUCUACCCUUUCUUUGUUCAUAACAAUAUCACCUCUAGCUCUAUUCUGAAUCGAUUAUUGUGUUGCAGGAAAUUUGUUACCGAUAUCUUAAGCUUGAAAAUACACUGUUGGAAGCGCAACUCCUCGUGUUAAAAAUACUUAAAAUAUGUGAUUUUGGUAUUCAAAGGUCUGCUUGAUACGUGACGGAAAUGAGAUUUUUGAUGACGAGCGUAUGAAUUUAUUAGAAGAAGCAAAGAAGCUGGCCAUAUCCGGCGGAUUGGACAGAGUUGUUCUUGAAGCCAAUGGUAUAUUCAGAAACCCUACAUCAGUAAGAGAAAUAAAAAGAAUCAAAUCUUUCCCUCCUUAUUUAUGGCAAAUUAAACAGUGUCCCCGAAGCGAUACACGCUCAAUAUCUUAUGGGCGUAAUCGUCGAUUUAGUACAAGAAAUCACAAAUGCAGUUGCGUGUUUCAAAAACCAAGAUGAAGGAGCGGAGGUGAAAGAGAACCAUGGUUUCCACCACUUCGAUUUCAUCUUAAAGCGAUGGAUGUAGAAGACAGCUGUGUUAUUACUCAUG